This 525-nucleotide ribosomal RNA is filed under the name uncultured prokaryote. RNAcentral describes it as "bacterial SSU rRNA". It matches the Rfam family "Archaeal small subunit ribosomal RNA", at positions 85 to 595 of the family's 1478-position model. The record is from RNAcentral.
ACGGCUCAGUAACACGUGGCCAACCUACCCCGAGGAGGCGGAUAACCCCGGGAAACUGGGGUAUAAACCGCCAUAGGUGAGGGGUUCUGGAACGACCCUCCGCUGAAAGACGUGCGCGGGGAUGCCUGUGCACGUGCCUCGGGAUGGGGCUGCGGCCCAUCAGGUAGUUGGUGGGGUAACGGCCCACCAAGCCUAUAACGGGUACGGGCCCUGAGAGGGGGAGCCCGGAGAUGGACUCUGAGACAAGAGUCCAGGCCCUACGGGGCGCAGCAGGCGCGAAAACUCCGCAAUGCGCUCACGCGUGACGGGGUUACCCCGAGUGCCACCCUCGUGGUGGCUUUUGCGCGGUCUAAAAAGCCGCGCGAAUAAGCGGGGGGCAAGACGGGUGUCAGCCGCCGCGGUAAUACCCGCUCCGCGAAUGGUGAGGACUAUUACUGGGCUUAAAGCGUCCGUAGCCGGCCCGGCGUGCUCCGCGUUAAAUCCAGCAGCCUAACUGCUGGGCUGCGCGGAUGACUGCCGGGCUUG